AUCCCAUGUUUAAUCUUCAGAAGGUGUGUGAGGAAUAACAUGUUUGCUUUUGAAAGAUGCCUUGUAGACUGUGCGCAGUGGCUCAUGCCUGUAAUCCCAGCACUUUGGGAGGCUGAGGAGAGCGGAUCACCUGAGGUCAGGAGUUUGAAACCAGCCUGGUCAACAUGGUGAAACGCCAUCUCUAUUAAAAAUACAAAACUUAGCCAGGCGUUGUGGCGGGCACCUGUAAUCCCAGCUACUAAGGAGGCUGAGGUAGAAGAAUUGCUUGAACCUGGGAGGCAGAGGCUGCAGUGAGCUGAGAUCAUGCCACUGCACUCCAGCCUGGGCAACAGAGCAAGACUCCAUCUCAAAAAAAAAAAAAAAGAUGCCUUGUCUUCAAGCAAACUAUUAUUAAGGAUGAGUUGCUUAUUUGUAUUAAAAAGAGGGCUGGAGGAUAGCUUGAGCCCAGGAGUUCAAAACCUGCCUGGGCAAUAUAGUGAGACCCCAUUCUCAAAAAAAAAAAAAAAAGAAAGAAAAGGUGGGGAUCACUGAAUUUUCUAUUGCAUUAACCAAGAAUCUUAAAAGUCAUAUUUUUAAAGAUUAUUGAAGAUUUAAAAUGUGUCUUGUUUUUUUUUUUUUCAUUUUGUUUUAUUUUAUUUGAGACAGGGUCUCAUGAUGUUGCCCAGGCUGGUUUUACUCCUGGGCUCAAACUGUCUUCCUGCCUCAUCCUCCCAAUUAGCUGGGAUUUCAAGUGCAUGCCAACCCACACAGCCUUUUCUUUUUCAUUUUCCUUUCUUUUUUUUUUUUGAGGCAGGAUCUUGCUGUGUUGCCCAGGCUGGAGUGCAGUGGUGCAAUCGCACUUCAUUGCAGCCUGGACCUCCUGAGCUCAAGUGAGCCUCCCACCUCAGCCUCUUAAGAAGCUGGGACUGCAGACACAUGCCAGCAAUACACCUGGCUAAUAUUUUAAUUUAAUUUUUUCUAGAGACAGGGUCUCACAAUGUUGCCCAGACUGGUCUCGAACUCCUGGAUCAAGCAGUUUGCCCACCUCAGCCUCCCAAAAUGUUGCAAUUACAGGCUUGAGCCUUUUUAUUAUUUAUUUAUUUAUUUAUUUAUUUAUUUAUUUAUUUAUUUUGAGAUGGAGUCUUGCUCUUUGUUGCCCAGGGUGGAGUACAAUGGCGCGACCUUGGCUAACUGCAACCUCCACCUCUCGGGUUCAAGCGAUUCUCCUGCCUCAGCCUCCUCAGCAGCUGGGACUACAGGUGCGUGCCACCACACCCGGCUAAUUUUUUGUAUUUUUUUGUAGAGACGGGGUUUCACCGUGUUAGCCAAGAUGGUCUCAAUCUCCUGACCUCGUGAUCUGCCCGCCUCGGACUCCCAAAAUGCUGGGAUUACAGGCGUGAGCCACCGUGCCCGGCCUGAGCCUUUUUAUUUUUAAAAGUGGCUUUCCAUUUUCUUUCUGUGGCAAUUUCAAGAGGCAUGGUGUGUUAUUAUCCCUGAGCUUUCUUGGGUAUUAAAAAAAGGCCAUGGGACUGGGCGCGGUGGCUCACGCCUGUAAUCCCAGCACUUUGGGAGGCUGAGGUGGGCGGACCACCUGAGGUCAGGAGUUCAAGACCAGUUUGACCAACAUGGUGAAACCCUAUCUCUACUAAAAUACAAAAAAAUUAGCCGCGCGUAGUGACAGGUGCCUGUAGUCUCAGCUACUUGGGAGGCUGAGGCGGGAGAAUUGCUUGAAACCAGGAGGCAGAGGUUGCAGUGAGCCAAGAUUGCGCCAUUGCACUUCAGCCUGGGCAACAAGAGACUCUGUCUCACAUAAAAAAAAAAAAAAAAAGAGGCCAUGGGGCUGGGCGCAGUGGCUCACACCUGUAAUGCCAACACUUUGGAAGGCCAGGGUGGGAGGAUCACUUGAGCCUAGGAGUUCCAGGCUGCAGUGAGCUAUGGUCAUGCCAUUGUACUCCAACAUGGGUGACAGAGUGAGACCUUGUCUCAAACAUAAUAAUAAUAAUAAUAGUAAUAAUAAAAUGAAAAUAGGUGGUGGCAGCUCCCACUUCAUCUUUAUUUUUUAUUUCAGAGGCACUUAUAAACCAGGAGAAUUAUGUGGAAAAGGAGUCCCCCGAUAUAACCCAAGACUCAGGAAAUUCUUGCUCCUCUUGGCAGGGAUGCAGCUGAAAUUUACCUUUAGUUAGCAUACUCCUCAGAUAGGGCAAAUGAAUUGUGCAAAGAUCAAAAUGGGGCUUUUUUUUUUUUUUUUUUU
This 2230-nucleotide long non-coding RNA is filed under the name Homo sapiens (human). Its description in RNAcentral is "HSALNT0358302". Lineage: Eukaryota; Metazoa; Chordata; Mammalia; Primates; Hominidae. The record is from RNAcentral.